Triplophysa dalaica is the source of this 383-nucleotide non-coding RNA. The record is from the annotation of a RefSeq genome assembly. Lineage: Eukaryota; Metazoa; Chordata; Actinopteri; Cypriniformes; Nemacheilidae.
CUGAACACAGAACGUUCAUCUUAUUUAACAUGGAUAGUUACUUCCUACUUAUUUUCAUCCUGGUAACAGGUUUGGUUUUUGGAAACAAUAUCUAUCCAGAUAAAGAGACCAAAGUCAUCACCAAUGAAGAAGACACUGUCAGACUGAGCUGUUCAUAUGACACCAGCAGCAGUCGUGUUUAUCUUUACUGGUACAGACAGUAUCCAAACAGAGAACCUCAGUAUAUAUUGUGGAAGGGGGCUCGAUCGUAUGGUGGUGAAAACACCUUUGACCAACGGUUUCAAUCAGAAGCAUCUCAAACAGCCACUGAACUCAUUAUUAAGAGUGUUUCUCUGUCAGAUUCAGCUCUAUAUUACUGUGCUCUGAGAGAUGAAGCCCAGUGA